Molecule: long non-coding RNA, 117 nt
Organism: Nanorana parkeri
Lineage: Eukaryota; Metazoa; Chordata; Amphibia; Anura; Dicroglossidae
Exons: 3
Source: RefSeq, a predicted model, not a curated record
AAAACCUACAUUAAAUCUGACAAAAGCAUGGGGGAAAAUGUGUUAUGGUCUGAUGAGAUCAAGAAUGACUUUUUGGCCAUAAUUCCAAAAUGUAUGUUUGGAGUGAUCAUCACAGGA